RNAcentral lists this ribosomal RNA (253 nucleotides) under uncultured bacterium. RNAcentral describes it as "partial 16S ribosomal RNA". It matches the Rfam family "Bacterial small subunit ribosomal RNA", at positions 524 to 776 of the family's 1533-position model. The record is from RNAcentral.
UACGUAUGGUGCAAGCGUUAUCCGGAUUUACUGGGCGUAAAGGGAGCGCAGGCGGCGCGCCAAGUCUGAUGUGAAACCCCGGGGCUCAACCCCGGGCAUGCAUUGGAAACUGGCGGGCUGGAGUGCCGGAGAGGUAAGCGGAAUUCCUAGUGUAGCGGUGAAAUGCGUAGAUAUUAGGAGGAACACCAGUGGCGAAGGCGGCUUACUGGACGGCAACUGACGCUGAGGUUCGAAAGCGUGGGUAGCAAACAGG